AUCGCCCACAGCCUGCCCCCUCCCUCGAAACUAGCAAGCCACAGACAACCUAGGGGAUUCAGAAGCAUACAGGAAGAGAGAGACCAGCACACCCAUAUGCACACACCUGCUACAUCAGGUGCUCCCCGUCCCAGCCACCCUCCCCCUCCCCCACUUCAAGCCCCUUUUGCAGCCCCGCCCCGCCCCUACAUUCUCUUUCUCUUCAAUCUCUAGAUUCCCCACAUCCCCGUUUUCUCUUCUCUCCCCUUUCCCUCCAUCUCCGGGACGGCCUCACCACAACAGCAGCAACGCACCCCACCCUCCGCCUCUGCAUUCUCAGUGCGCGAGGCCCAUACACAAUAUCCCUGGAUUUCUCUCUUUCCCACGCCCAUCACCGUUUUCCCCAUUUCCAAACAAACGAAACCCUCCGUUUGUGUUCCGACGAGAUCCCCAGCGCGCUGGCACGCAGCCCCACUGCCAACCCGCCUACCGCCUGCACAGAAGCACACUUGCACACGGCAACCACCACUUAUAGAUCAACGCAUGCAGACACGCAAACACCUCCCGGCCCCCUAGACGCCUCCGCUUCUCCCCUGCAUUUUCUCUACCCCUUCACCCGUACCCGCACGUCGCCGCCAUGGAGCGCCUGCAGCGCGUCGGUGUCCGCACCGGCCCCACCUUCGCCGACGCACCCGCGUCCACGUCGGAGCUACCGAAGCCGACGUUCCAGCCUGGCAGCAGUAUCUACGAGAUGGACUCCAGCGGUAGGCUGCAUCGCUUCCAGUGCGGUCGCGUGCUCGGCCGCGGCGGCUUCGCCAAGUGCUACGAGGUGUCGGACGAGACUGGCACCUACGCGCUCAAGGCCGUUAAUCGUGCGUCGCUGGAGAAGCCCAAGACGCUGCAGAAGCUGCACAGUGAAAUCAGCAUCCACCGCCGCAUGAAGCACAAGCACGUCGUCGAGUUCCUUCGCACGUUCCGCGACCGCUACUACGUGUACAUGCUCUUGGAGAAGUGUGACCACGGGACGCUGAUGGACUUACUCAAAGUGCGCCGUUUCAGCGUGGCGGAGACACAGUACGUGAUGCUGCAGUGCCUGUCGGCGCUGCAGUACAUGCACAGUGAGUGCGUCAUCCACCGCGACCUGAAGCCCGGCAACAUUAUGCUGGACAGAGAGCUCAACGUCAAGAUCGGCGACUUCGGCCUCGCCGCGGAGCUGCAGUACGACGGCGAGCGCAAGCGCACCAUUUGUGGAACGCCCAACUACAUUGCACCCGAGAUCAUCGACCACAAGAGCCACGGUCACAGCUACGAGGUGGACACGUGGUCGCUCGGCGUCAUCCUCUACACGCUGCUGGUGGGUCAGCCUCCGUUCCAGAUGGAGGACGUGGAGUCUACAUACAAGCGCAUCCGCCAGUGCCGCUACGACUUCCCCGCCAGCGUGCCAGACAACGCGCGCGACCUUAUCACCCAGAUCCUGCAGAGCAGCCCGGCCCACCGCCCCACGCUGAUGGACAUCCGCCAGCACUCCUUCUUCUCGUCGUCACCGCCGCCGCCGCUGACGCCACCGGCAUCGUUCGCGUCCUUCGGCCUGCCGGUGCCCGGCGCCGCCGCGCCCGCGACGACGGCGACCGCAUCAGCAGCAGCAGCAACCACAAUCACACGCAGCGCACGCCGCGGGCCGGCGGUGGACAUGCAUCACCCACCGCCGGCGCCGUAUGGUAAGGAGCUGUUAGGUGCCCCAGCACAACGCGAGGUGCUGCGGCCCAUCAACGCCAACGUGCCACCGCCGCCCGGCGCGCCGACAUCGCCGCGCCACCUCGCGAACCUCAGGCAACAGCAGCAGCCCACGCCGGCGCCGACGCUCCCUGGCACCUGCGCGCGUGCGCGCAGCGACACGCCACGCAGUGCCCCUGCGACGGCAGCGGUGCCGCUCUCGGGCCGCUGCCCCGCUUCGUCUCCGCAGCAGCUCCGAAACGAUGACAACGCUGACGAGGACGAGAAGCAGCAGCUGACGGCGCUGCACGACCGCCUGCACCAGACCCUGUGCGGCGACGCGGCCGCCGACGAUGCUGCUGACAACGAGGCGCCGCCGCCGCCGGUGUGGGUUACGCAGUGCGCCGACUUCUCGUCCAAGUACGGCAUGGCGUACCGCCUCAGCACCGGCCAAACCGGCGCGCACUUCAACGACUCCACCAAAAUCGUGUGGGAGCCCAUCACGGACCGUGUGGAGUAUUACGCGCGCGUCAAGAUUGAGAUGCCGGCGCGCGACGGCGGCACCGGUCUCUUUGCGAAGGACGAGCGGCACGUGUUCAGCAUGCACAGCUACCCACCGGAGCUGGAGAAAAAGGUGACACUGACCAAGUACUUCAAGACCUACCUCGGCCGCGUGCAGAGCUCGCCGGACAGGGUGCCGGUGGUGGCGUGCUCACCCUUCCUGCCGGCGGCGCCGCCACGCUGCACCGACCCGCACACGUCCAGUGACUUUGUGUACGUGAAGCGCUGGCUGCGCGUGGACGGCGCGCUCGUGUUCCGGCUAUCAAACAAGACGGUGCAGGUGUGCUUCGAGGACGGCGCCGAGAUCAUCCUGAGCUCGGAGUGGCGCGUGGUGACCUACACGACGCCGUCGGGCCGCCGCCGCACGAUGCCGCUGAACUCGGUGGCCACGGAGUGGGAAGAAGCGGCAGAGCGGCUGCGAAACACCAAGAGCGUACUGUACCAGGUCAUCCGCGACCACUGCCUGUAGAGGACCAGCCACUCGCGCGUUUGAAUCUCUCGCGACGGGUUAGAUUACCCACAAUUCCCCUCUUUGUUUUCGAUAGAUUGCAUUAGAACCCUGACUACGAGGCACAGCUCCGUGCGUGGCAUCUCAGGGUCCAGCACCCCCACUGUGUGAGGAAGCCAGGCGGUCCCUCUAUCCCUGCCAAGUGCAAGAGCCACUUCCGGCGGUCACAGGGCCGAGCGCCUGCGACGUGGCGAAGUCAGGGCGCCUCAUCGCCACCGAUGCCGACGGCCACACCCUCGACGGCGUGGCGUCGGAGCGACCCGAGACCGCGAGCACGCCUGCACCAUCCAUACGAUCGACGAGGCGCCAGCGCGACUCGAGCACAUCCCGCCCCGCCCUCGCCGCCCACCGGUGGAGGGAGCCUGCGCCACCGCGGGAGAUGCACCACGCGGCCACCGGCACAAAUGGGGAGCGGCUGUGAGGCGGCACUGCAAGGCGGGUGGGUGGGGAGGGCUCGAGGCAGAGGCCGUGCUGCGAUGCCCGAGUUGGCGCAGUGCCGCGCCGGCGUGUGUCUACGGCUGCUUCGCGCCACGCGACGGGUGGCCUGUGGCAGGGCAGGGUCGGCGGCUCGAGAGUGGAACGGGACCUCAUGUUGUGUGGCCGAAUGGACAAAAAAAGAUUGCAUUAGAAGCUGUUUUGGUUUGGAUACACGCUCAGACAAAUCCACUGCAUGGCCUACACCGUGACGUGAACGCGCACCUCAAGAAAUUCAGUGAGAGCACAUGCUUGAAAAUCAUUACGAGUGCACACAACCAGCAAAAGGAAACGCAGAAAUAAAAUCUGGAUGACGCGUACAGAAAUGCAACUCGGCUUUCUAGGCAGACACGCUCGGAUCUUCUCUCCCUCUCUAUCGCCGGGUCCACACAAAAG
Molecule: unclassified non-coding RNA, 3631 nt
Filed under: Leishmania donovani
Lineage: Eukaryota; Euglenozoa; Kinetoplastea; Trypanosomatida; Trypanosomatidae
Description: gene:LdHU3.17.1150(CDS-product:polo-like_protein_ kinase_putative)
Source: RNAcentral